AAUCCCUCCAGAAAGGCAGGAAAAGCCCGGAAACUUACUUUAAAACUAAAUAUGUUCCCUAAAACGGUGACAGAGCUACAGACCCAUGACAGCCUUACACAGGUAGCCAGCAGCUGUGACCAGCACUACAUGUGCAGUUAAUAAAAGGACAGGUAAUGUUUGUCGCGCUGUUGCACACACAGCACGCUCGUUUGUUUCAGUUCGUCAGUUGCAACAAGACAGCUUACCAACGUGUACCUAAUAAGCUAAUACUCCUGUGUGCUACACACUACAGUGCACGCUGUACACCUACUUACUGGUUGUGUCGCAUCAGUCUGUGUCUCUGAGUUAACUUGUGUUUCUCCUACAGCUCCGGACCGCUAAAAAUGCGCGUGCUCUUUGUGAGCUCGUUCCCGGCUCGUAACCAGCGCGUUCUGCCGUCAAGGGCGAUCAUUGGUUAAAUGUGAUCAUGUGACUGAUGCAAGCCAGAUCCUUUUAUUUAGCAAAACUGUGAUUAAUAGUUAAAUAUUAUUGUUGAGGGGCACAGACAGGACUCCGCACACACACAUUAAAAAAAAUAUAUAUAUAUAUUUUUUUAAAAAGUUGCCUCAACAAAAGGGCACUUUGGGCACCCAUCAGGAAAGGGGCGGGUGCUCAAGCCCCUCUAGCCCCCCCCUCUGCACGUGCCUGCUAUGCAGCUCCGCAGACAGGAGAUGGCCAUCCAGCAGUGGCUUGGCAUGCGCUGCCCUGAAGACUAAUAUGGUGGCUAUGGUUACCAUCAACGAACACGGUUAUCAGGAUGGCUAUCACCAGGGGUAUGGUGAUAAAAGGUGCGUGCAUUCCAAUGAUGCACACUGGCCUGCAGCUGGUCCUUGGUGCUACCUUCCUUUGGCCCAAAACCUUUACGACUAUUUUGUAGCACUUAGUGAAGGGAAGAAAAAUGCUUUCACAUAUCCAGUUCUUUAACAUUCCCUAUAUAGCAUAGUACGCUGCUUUAUACUUAGCAGCGUCAGAUCUGGUUAGUCAGUAAAUUUAUGGAUGAACCUGAAGGUUCAGAAAUGGAUUGCAUACUUUAGUUUUUGCCGGGUUUGGUUUUUUUUGUUUGUUUCAACUUAAAACAUUAUUGCAUCGUCUGUCAUCUCUAACUGGCUUUUUUAGGUCAGACUUGCAUAGUUUCAGCACACACGUUGAUUUUGUAGAUAAUAGAACAUUUUUAUUGGACAUCUGUUGCAUUUGAAGUGCAGUUACCAAUAAUAUUAUUAAAAGCAUCACAUUAUUUCUCUUUUGUAAAGUUUCUGUUGCUAUACAUUGUUUCUAUUUAUUCUUUGUUUCUAUAUGGCUAUAUGAAAAUAAACAUUUGUUUACUACCAGGUCCUUUAAAUUAUUUGUCUCACUUUCAGUGCCAAUGCGCUGCAAUAAUCUUUUGAGCAACACCUCCCCCUAGUGGCAAAACUGGAAAAAUAUUUCCAAGUAUAUUUUAGUGGUCAUGUAAUGAUUGAAACAACCUGCCGUACUUGUAAUAUCUACAGUAGUUUCAGACCUUCUCAACUUACUGUCCCCUCAAUGCAAUCACAUUUGCAAAAACACUUUGCGAGUAAGAAGGGCUUGAAUCCACCUACCCAUUUUCUUCCACUUAUCCAAUUAAGGGCAUGGGGAGGCUGGAGCAUCUCUCAGCUGCCAUAGAGCAAGAGACAGAGUUUGUAUUAAACAUGGCCAAAGUGUAUGUACAAGUGAGUCUUGUUCAUUUAAAGCUUAGACAUCAGACUGCGUUACAGUCUCUUUUCUCUUGGAUCUGUAUAAUGUUAGUGGGUGUGGAACACUGUUAUUCAGCAGGUGGGUAAACUAUCUAAGAGUUGGCUUAAAGGAACUGAUAGGGAGCUAAAACAGCUAUCAAGCAUGUGCAAAGUAAUAGAAGAAAAACAUGGAGUUAGAGCAGCUAGUACCCUUUAGGUCUUCCUCCAGAAAACCUCAGUAUUUAAAUAAAUGCACAAAUUUAUGACAAGACAUCAGCGAUUGUAUUAAAUUGCAUUACUUGCACAGAAGUAAAACAACUUGCCAUUUAUUUUACAAGAAAAUGCAUUCACACGUGAGGAUUUUAAUGGCACAAACAACAAUCUUUAGACAAUGUUAUUUUACAGUUUAACAAGAAAAUAUUCAAGCCCCAAGUAAGAGAGGCAGGGAGUUUGUGGUGCUGACAGAAAGUCAGGCAUUAGUGGCAAUUAUGUCAAUACCACUUAUUCUGGCUCAGAAAAUAAACAAAUAAAAAAAUAAACUGCCUCUUCCACAGUACAAUACAAACUGAAUUCAUCAUAGUGUGGAUAAAGAUUCAAAAUCACCACAAUUUCAAACAAAUCUAUUAUCAAAACAAUCCUGAAACUGCAGUUUCUGGUCCUUAGACGUCCAGCACCAGCAAGCAGUCAAAUAGCAGCAUGUACAACAGGAAUCAUGUAAAGAAAUACACUGUCCAUAAAAGGAAUCCAUAAUGAAUCCAAAAGUAUCACUUAUUUUCCAACAAACAGCGUUGCUGGUACUUUCCCCCAUAUGAAUGACAGCAGUCAUCCACAGACAGGCACGUUUCCAAAAUAUACACAUUUCGCUAAUUCUGUUAUUAAACACUUUGUUUUUAAUACUAGGAGUCUAUCAUAUAAUCUAUCAACAGUAUCUUUCACCGUUUACCUGCUUAUCACUGUUCAAAUAAAUGCUUUCACAGACAAUCUGUGACCAUGUUCCAUCCAGUCAAUUGUCCAGUUCGAUAUCAGCAGCAGGAAAGAUGCAGAGUAUCCUCUGGAUACUUGGGAGUGAGCUCUAUCAUUACUACAAGGACUCUUCAUCAGAAACACUGUCUGCAUUUGCCUUUGUCAGGAGCUCGAGCUC
This is a long non-coding RNA of Astatotilapia calliptera (eastern happy), 2853 nucleotides long. NCBI's taxonomy places the organism in Eukaryota, Metazoa, Chordata, Actinopteri, Cichliformes, Cichlidae. The record is from Ensembl.